GUAUAGAACCUACCUUUUACUGGAGAAUAGCCCAGAGAAAUUUGGAUUAAUGCUCCAUAGUAUCAUUUUUUGGCAUCAUUAGGUGAUUAAAGAUUUAUCGGUAAAAGAUGGCUAUGCGUUCUAUUAGCUAGUUGGUAUGGUAACGGCAUACCAAGGCGACGAUAGAUAGGGGUCCUGAGAGGGAGAUCCCCCACACUGGUACUGAGACACGGACCAGACUCCUACGGGAGGCAGCAGUGAGGAAUAUUGGACAAUGGAGGCAACUCUGAUCCAGCCAUGCCGCGUGUAGGAAGACUGCCCUAUGGUUGUAAACUACUUUUAUAGAGGAAGAAACCGCUCUACGUGUAGAGCUCUGACGGUACUCUACGAAUAAGGAUCGGCUAACUCCGUGCCAGCAGCCGCGGUAAUACGGAGGAUCCAAGCGUUAUCCGGAAUCAUUGGGUUUAAAGGGUCCGUAGCGGGUUUGUAAGU
This 471-nucleotide ribosomal RNA is filed under the name uncultured bacterium. RNAcentral's name for it is "bacterial SSU rRNA". It matches the Rfam family "Bacterial small subunit ribosomal RNA", at positions 117 to 588 of the family's 1533-position model. The record is from RNAcentral.